Molecule: ribosomal RNA, 468 nt
Filed under: uncultured bacterium
Lineage: Bacteria
Description: partial 16S ribosomal RNA
Rfam family: Bacterial small subunit ribosomal RNA
Source: RNAcentral
GAUGAACGCUGGCGGCGUGCUUAACACAUGCAAGUCGAACGGAAAGGCCCAAGCUUGCUUGGGUACUCGAGUGGCGAACGGGUGAGUAACACGUGGGUGAUCUGCCCUGCACUUCGGGAUAAGCCUGGGAAACUGGGUCUAAUACCGGAUAGGACGAUGGUUUGGAUGCCAUUGUGGAAAGUUUUUUCGGUGUGGGAUGAGCUCGCGGCCUAUCAGCUUGUUGGUGGGGUAAUGGCCUACCAAGGCGUCGACGGGUAGCCGGCCUGAGAGGGUGUACGGCCACAUUGGGACUGAAAUACGGCCCAGACUCCUACGGGAGGCAGCAGUGGGGAAUAUUGCACAAUGGGCGCAAGCCUGAUGCAGCGACGCCGCGUGGGGGAUGACGGCCUUCGGGUUGUAAACUCCUUUCGCUAGGGACGAAGCGUUUUUGUGACGGUACCUGGAGAAGAAGCACCGGCUAACUACGUG